UCCACGCUGUAAACGAUGUCGAUUUGGAGGUUGUUCCCUUGAGGAGUGGCUUCCGGAGCUAACGCGUUAAAUCGACCGCUGGGGAGUACGGCCGCAAGGUUAAAACUCAAAUGAAUUGACGGGGGCCCGCACAAGCGGUGGAGCAUGUGGUUUAAUUCGAUGCAACGCGAAGAACCUUACCUACUCUUGACAUCCAGAGAAUUUAGCAGAGAUGCUUUAGUGCCUUCGGGAACUCUGAGACAGGUGCUGCAUGGCUGUCGUCAGCUCGUGUUGUGAAAUGUUGGGUUAAGUCCCGCAACGAGCGCAACCCUUAUCCUUUGUUGCCAGCACGUUAUGGUGGGAACUCAAAGGAGACUGCCGGUGAUAAACCGGAGGAAGGUGGGGAUGACGUCAAGUCAUCAUGGCCCUUACGAGUAGGGCUACACACGUGCUACAAUGGCGUAUACAAAGAGAAGCGACCUCGCGAGAGCAAGCGGAACUCAUAAAGUACGUCGUAGUCCGGAUUGGAGUCUGCAACUCGACUCCAUGAAGUCGGAAUCGCUAGUAAUCGUAGAUCAGAAUGCUACGGUGAAUACGUUCCCGGGCCUUGUACACACCGCCCGUCACACCAUGGGAGUGGGUUGCAAAAGAAGUAGGUAGCUUAACCUUCGGGAGGGCGCUUACCACUUUGUGAUUCAUGACUGGGGUGAAGUCGUAACAAGGUAACCA
RNAcentral lists this ribosomal RNA (708 nucleotides) under uncultured Providencia sp. RNAcentral's name for it is "bacterial SSU rRNA". It matches the Rfam family "Bacterial small subunit ribosomal RNA", at positions 794 to 1502 of the family's 1533-position model. The record is from RNAcentral. Lineage: Bacteria; Pseudomonadati; Pseudomonadota; Gammaproteobacteria; Enterobacterales; Morganellaceae.